Long non-coding RNA from Dalotia coriaria, 1617 nucleotides. RefSeq lists it as uncharacterized. The record is from RefSeq and is a predicted model, not a curated record. Lineage: Eukaryota; Metazoa; Arthropoda; Insecta; Coleoptera; Staphylinidae. The transcript is spliced from 2 exons.
UUCACUCGUCAAAAGGCCCGCCCGACUAUUUGCAGUGGGGUGAAAUUUUCAUAAAAUUCAUAUUCAGUUCUCAUCUAGAAGUGACGACGUGCUCAACUACCAGCCAACAAACACUCCCAGUGUGCAUCUAUUCCAAUCCAACGAAAAACAAUCAAACAAUCAGUGAAAACUGCAUUCAAGAUCAAGAUCAAGACGUUCAGCAGGUGCAAUGGCAUCGAAGGUCGUUGUGUAACUUUAGCGCACGCUUGAAAGUUAAGUAAUAACAACACAAUAGAUCAUGACGAUGACGCUUGAACUUGACACGCGUGUAUCCAUCCAAAAUUCGGCCGCGUUGAUCUACAAACCGAUGUGGAAAGAGAGCCGCGACAUCGCUCUUCCGGUGCUCUAGAAAUGUAGCAAUUUGUUUAUUAGAGACGAAAUUAAACGCGCGUUGAAAUAGAUCAGCCGGACGAUCAUUAAAAAAGCGACCUCGGUAAGCGUAAUAAUAAUAAAACUGGUUAAGAGCGGCGCGCCGCGUAAGUGAUAAUGAUUUUUCGACCAGAAUCGCUUUCGGCGCUCGAAGCGUUGCCGCGAAGAAAUUCAAAAACCGCUUUAGUUUUUUAUUUUAAAUUUUAUUUCAUGAUGCGAAUAGAUCACUUUACUCUUUACGACCAGCGAGUAAAACUCAACCGCAAAGUAAGUAAAUUUCUCAUUUUGUUUAAUUUCUAUGUAUUAACUUGUUUGUGUUGAAGAUUAAGCGGUAAAAGUGAAAGAUUUACACCGUACGCGCACUUAUUUUGACAAUUUUACAUGUAAACAUUACAAACGCGUGCAUAAAUUAGCGCUAAGUACACACUUAACACAUUUACGUGCAAUUACGCGCAUGCGCGUUUUACUUGCUUUGUUUCUUUGUUUGUUUUCACUCGUGUAGUGCAGAGAUUCUUCAAUCUUCAUUAACAACGAUGUCCGGAUUGGACUUGUAUGCAUAUAUGGAUAUGGAGCGAUGGUAUUAUGACCAUUUACAUAUUUUCCACGCGAUGGAUGGCGAAUUUCAUUUAUUCAUCAACAAGUCGAUGCGCUUGGUGAAUAAAAAAUUAACGCGCCAAUUAAAUCUUAUAAACCCGUACGUGUCUUAAUCAUGCUCCGAUUCGUUCGGAGAUUUCAUGUGAUUUUUCACAAAUUAAUAAAUUAUGCUCUAAUUAAAUUUAUUGUGAGUUAAACAUUGUGAAUAUUUGUAUAAGUAAGUAGUUCAUGUGGAUUUGAUAUAGAUUUAAGAGUUUACGGUGAGUUUGAUGUAUAAUAAAACGAAUGUGUCCAUCAUUUCACCUUUGGAAUUGUGUCUCACGUAUUUGCGGUCGAUUGCAUUAGACGCUUUGGUGACUUCCGAAUCGGUUCCGCUACUCGCCAUCACGCAUUCAUUUCGCCGGUCGGCUACAUUCUAUUCUGUCAAUAAGUUGAGCGAAUUAUCGUCAGCUGAAAACGAGGUUUUCAAUUACAAUCGCUGCUUCGAGCUUCUAUUCUACAUUUCAUCUACGAGUACAUUAAAUUACAAUAUCCACAAUUUACGCCAAUAUAACCUAAUAUUCUUUGUAAAUCAUAAAAAUAAAAAUAUGAAUAAAUCGUAUUUCCUGUUUAAAA